GAUGAACGCUGGCGGCGUGCCUAAUACAUGCAAGUCGAGCGAACAGACUAUUCUCUUGCUCCUCUUACUUUCUCGUCUUCCUUUUUCGUCACCCUUUUCUAACCUACCUCUCCUACUUUUCUAACUUCGGGACCCCGUCUCUAAUACCGGAUCCUCUCUUGCACCGCAUUGUUCCAUAGUGCACGACGGUUUUGCUUUCCCUUAUCGCUGGCUCCGCGCCGCAUUCGCUAGUUGGUACGUUAACGGCUUACCAAGGCAACUAUGCGUAGCCGACCUGAGAGGGUGAUCGGCCACACUGGAAAUGAGACACGGUACAGACUCCUACGGGAGGCAGCAGUAGGGAAUAUUCCGCAAUGGGCGAAAGCAUGACGGAGCAACGCCGCGUGAGUGAUGAAGGGAUUAGGAUCGUAAAACUCUGUUAUUAGGGAAGAAAAAAUGUAUAAGUAACUAUGCACGGAUUGACGGUACCUAAUCAGAAAGACACGGCUAACUACGUG
RNAcentral lists this ribosomal RNA (497 nucleotides) under uncultured bacterium. RNAcentral describes it as "partial 16S ribosomal RNA". It matches the Rfam family "Bacterial small subunit ribosomal RNA", at positions 28 to 507 of the family's 1533-position model. The record is from RNAcentral.